RNAcentral lists this ribosomal RNA (173 nucleotides) under Clostridioides difficile. Its description in RNAcentral is "partial 16S ribosomal RNA". It matches the Rfam family "Bacterial small subunit ribosomal RNA", at positions 1 to 181 of the family's 1533-position model. Lineage: Bacteria; Bacillati; Bacillota; Clostridia; Peptostreptococcales; Peptostreptococcaceae. The record is from RNAcentral.
UUUAUUUGAGAGGUUGAACAUGGAUAAAGAUGAACGCUGGCGGCGGGCCGAACACAUGCAAGGUGAGCGAUUUACAUCGGUAAAGAGCUGCGGACGCGUGAGUAACGCGUGGGUAACCUACCCUGUACACACGGAUAACAUACCGAAAGGUAUGCUAAUACGGGAUAAUAUAU